Molecule: ribosomal RNA, 465 nt
Filed under: Vreelandella stevensii
Lineage: Bacteria; Pseudomonadati; Pseudomonadota; Gammaproteobacteria; Oceanospirillales; Halomonadaceae
Description: partial 16S ribosomal RNA
Rfam family: Bacterial small subunit ribosomal RNA
Source: RNAcentral
CCUACGGGUGGCUGCAGUGGGGAAUAUUGGACAAUGGGGGGAACCCUGAUCCAGCCAUGCCGCGUGUGUGAAGAAGGCCCUCGGGUUGUAAAGCAUUUUCAGUGAGGAAGAACGCCUGGUGGUUAAUACCCAUCAGGAAAGACAUCACUCACAGAAGAAGCACCGGCUAACUCCGUGCCAGCAGCCGCGGUAAUACGGAGGGUGCGAGCGUUAAUCGGAAUUACUGGGCGUAAAGCGCGCGUAGGUGGCUUGAUAAGCCGGUUGUGAAAGCCCCGGGCUCAACCUGGGAACGGCAUCCGGAACUGUCAAGCUAGAGUGCAGGAGAGGAAGGUAGAAUUCCCGGUGUAGCGGUGAAAUGCGUAGAGAUCGGGAGGAAUACCAGUGGCGAAGGCGGCCUUCUGGACUGACACUGACACUGAGGUGCGAAAGCGUGGGUAGCAAACAGGAUUAGAUACCCUAGUAGUC